UUGAAGAAUAGAAGCAGAAGAAAAUGGAGAAAAAGCACAAGGUUCUAACCGUUGCACCGUUUGAAUGUGCGUGGCGUGAUGAUCUAUGAUUCAAGGAAGCAGGACGAGGUUGCGUUGCAUUUGAAGCGUUUGCACACAGCAGAGUUGGUAACAAAUUAAACCAGUUUGGGUCGUCGCGAACACUUUUACAUAGACCUACUAAGGGAGACAUACGAACUCGAACAUGUAUAAACCAUCUAAUGAUGGUUAAAGUUGCCCAAGGUGCAGGAUUGUUGCAGGAUUCUAUCAUGAAAAUGCAAAGAGGAGCUGUUAAACCAAUAGCUGUGUUAGCACGACACCCAAACAGACCAACUUUUCUUGAUCAUGCAGUCAACAUUACUUAUAAGGCAAGGUUUUCUUUUAUAUUUUUUGCAAAUUUCUGCUAUAAAAACUUGCAAGUAUUAAGUACAUGCGAAAUACCCUUACUGAAAUUUUUAAUUUACAUUUGUUGAUCUUUGUGGGUCAUGCUUUUAAUGCAGUCAAAUGCAUCAUGUGACAGGUUAUGUAUGAUGCAACUGGUGUGCGAUUGGUAGCUGGACGCCAAGUCGACGACUGUUAUUUCUCGGGUGUGAUCUAUAGUAUGAUGGCAGUGGUUGUUGGAGGAGUCUAAAAGCAAAGAUCAAAGCCGCACAUUCUUAUGCAUUCCCAGAUUCUUCAACGUUGGUAGCACUGGAUGAGCGACCAAAUCUAGAAGUACAUGGUUGAAAAGAGGUGAACAGCUGGGUUGAAAAGAGGGAAUAGUGGUCAACAGUGGUCAGAAAGGUGAAAAGAGGGAACAGCUGUCCGAACUCAGCUUGGUUGAAAAGAGGGAACAAUGGUCAACAGUGGUCAGAAGGUUGAAAAGAGGUGAACAGUGGUCAGAAUUCAGCAGUAUGCUGAAAAGAGGUGAACAGAGUAGAGGAGAUGAUACAAGAAAGUCAUAAGCGAACGGAUGUAUUGGUAAAACAGGAAGAGAUACAAGAGACUCCCCACACUUUUGUUUUUAUUGUUUUGUCCAGCUACUUGACUGUUUUGAACUCUUCUUGUUUUUAAUUACAUCUACUUCCUUGUUUUGUACUCUUCUUGUAGAAGAUCACCAAAGAAUCGAUAA
Molecule: long non-coding RNA, 1129 nt
Filed under: Helianthus annuus (common sunflower)
Lineage: Eukaryota; Viridiplantae; Streptophyta; Magnoliopsida; Asterales; Asteraceae
Description: hypothetical non coding rna
Source: RNAcentral